GACGAACGCUGGCGGCGUGCUUAACACAUGCAAGUCGAACGGAGUGGCAAACGGGUGAGUAACACGUAAACAACCUGCCUUAAGGAUGGGGAUAACAGACGGAAACGACUGCUAAUACCGCAUACCUUAAGAGGGGUUUGCGACUGAUUAGGUAGUUGGUGAGGUAACGGCUCACCAAGCCGACGAUCAGUAGCCGGUCUGGGAGGAUGGACCGACAACCUGGAACGUAGAAACGGUCCAGACUCCUACGGGAGGCAGCAGUGGGGAAUCUUGCGCAAUGGAUGAAAGUCUGACGGAGCAACGCCGCGUGAACGAAGAAGGUCUUCGGAUUUGAAAGUUCUGUGAUUCGGGACGCGGUACCGAAAAAGCAAGCCACGGCUAACUACGUGCCAGCAGCCGCGGUAAUUC
This 408-nucleotide ribosomal RNA is filed under the name uncultured bacterium. Its description in RNAcentral is "partial 16S ribosomal RNA". It matches the Rfam family "Bacterial small subunit ribosomal RNA", at positions 28 to 526 of the family's 1533-position model. The record is from RNAcentral.